RNAcentral lists this long non-coding RNA (427 nucleotides) under Mus musculus (house mouse). RNAcentral describes it as "long non-coding RNA chrX:135803037-135803464". Lineage: Eukaryota; Metazoa; Chordata; Mammalia; Rodentia; Muridae. The record is from RNAcentral.
UUCCGUGAGGCUGAAAAAAUUGCCAAGGAACUAAAACGCAAACCUGGCAAUCAAAAAGCACCCUGAAGCAGUACAACAAAAACAAAAAGUAAUUUGACUAACCCUUUGCCUCCGGUUGUCCUUUUGUUCCUGAGUCAUCUGACCCUCAAAUACUGCUUUGCUUUCCCAGCUGCUUCCUUGUUUCAGUGUACCUCUCUAAUGCUGGUGGCAAUUCUACCCAACCCUGUGUACUCUGUAUUAUCGUUCUGAUGCCAAAUGAAGAUACAACUGAAAACACAUGACACUUGUUGAUGACGCUUGUUGUGUUGAUUGUGAUGUUCAGUAUUUGAGUGUAAAGUGAACUGAGCCGUUGUAAAUAAGAUGCCCUUCUAAAUGUUGUUCUCGUGUAUAUUUGAGUCUUGUGCUUCAAUAAAGGUCUAUGUGAAAG